Molecule: ribosomal RNA, 503 nt
Filed under: uncultured bacterium
Lineage: Bacteria
Description: partial 16S ribosomal RNA
Rfam family: Bacterial small subunit ribosomal RNA
Source: RNAcentral
AUUGAACGCUGGCGGCAGGCUUAACACAUGCAAGUCGAGCGGGGGGAUGGUGCUUGCACUAUCACUUAGCGGCGGACGGGUGGGUAAUGCUUAGGAAUCGGCCUAUUAGUGGGGGAAAACAUCUGGAAGGGGAUGUUAAUACCGCAUCCGUCCUACGGGAAAAAUCAGGGGAUCACUUGUGACCUUGCGCUAAUAGAUGAGCCUAAGUCGGAUUAGCUAGUUGGUGGGGUAAAGGCCUACCAAGGCGACGAUCUGUAGCGGGUCUGAGAGGAUGAUCCGCCACACUGGGACUGAGACACGGCCCAGACUCCUACGGGAGGCAGCAGUGGGGAAUAUUGGACAAUGGGGGGAACCCUGAUCCAGCCAUGCCGCGUGUGUGAAGAAGGCCUUAUGGUUGUAAAGCACUUUAAGCGAGGAGGAGGCUCUUUUGGUUAAUACCCAAGAUGAGUGGACGUUACUCGCAGAAUAAGCACCGGCUAACUCUGUGCCAGCCGCCGCCGUAA